UCCCAGCUACUCAUGAGCCUGAAAUGGGAAGAUCGCUUGAGCCCAGGAGUUCAAGACUGCAGUGAACUAUGAUCGUGCCACUGUGCUCUAGCCUGGGUGACAGAGUGAGACCUUGUCCCCACCCCACCCCUCAAAAACAAAACAAAACAAAAAAAAACCCAAACAAGGAAAAGGAAUGCUGUUUGGUGCACGUGUAGUAGUGAUAUUAAUAGUUGGUUUUCAUUGAGCACCAAUUAUAUGCCAGAGCCCGUGUUCUGGUACUACGUGAAGGAGGUCCUCAACAAGCACGAGCUGCAAGCGCUUCUACUCCCUGCGCCACAUCGCCUCAGACGUGGGCCGGGGCCGCACCUGGCUGCGCUGUGCCCUCAACGAACACUCCCUGGAGCGCUACCUGCACAUGCUCCUGGCCGACCGCUGCAGGCUCAGUACUUUUUAUGAAGACUGGUCUUUUGUGAUGGAUGAAGAGAGGUCCAGUAUGCUUCCUACCAUGGCAGCAGGUCCGAACUCCAUACUCUUUGCGAUUAACAUUGACAACAAGGAUUUGAACGGGCAGAGUAAGUUUGCUCCCACCGUUUCAGACCUCUUAAAGGAGUCAACGCAGAAUGUGACCUUGCUGAAGGAGUCCACGCAAGGAGUGAGCAGCGUGUUCAGGGAGAUCACAGCCUCCUCUGCCAUCUCCAUCCUCAUCAAACCUGAACAGGAGACCGACCCCUUGCCCGUCGUGUCCAGGAAUGUCAGUGCUGAUGCCAAAUGCAAAAAGGAGCGGAAGAAGAAAAAGCAAGUGACCAACAUUAUCUCAUUUGAUGAUGAGGAAGAUGAGCAGAACUCUGGGGACAUGUUUAAAAAGACACCUGGGGCAGGGGAGAGCUCAGAGGACAACUCCGACCACUCCUCUGUCAAUAUCAUGUCCGCCUUUGAAAGCCCCUUCGGGCCAAACUCCAAUGGAAGUCAGAGCAGCAACUCGUGGAAAAUUGAUUCCCUGUCUUUGAACAGGGAGUUUGGGUACCAGAAGCUUGAUGUGAAAAGCAUCGAUGAUGAAGAUGUGGAUGAAAACGAAGAUGACGUGUAUGGAAACUCAUCAGGACGGAAGCACAGGGGCCACUCAGAGUCGCCCGAGAAAAACGGAGCACACUCUGUCACCCAGGCUGGAGUGCAAUGGCACGAUCUCAGCUCACUACAACCUCUGCCUCCCGGGUUCAAGUGAUUCUACUGCCUCAGCCUCCCGUGUAGCUGGGAUUACAGGCGCGCACCAACACACCCGACUAAUUUUUGUAUUUUUAGUAAAGACAGGGUUUCACCAUGUUGGCCAGGCUGGUCUUGCACUCCUGACCUCACGUGAUCUGCCCCACCUUGGCCUCCCAAAGUGCUGGGAUUACAGGUGUGAACCACUGCGCCCAGCCCCAAGUGGCUUUUUCAAUUACAUGAGCCAACAUAUUCUCACAAGUCCAUUCGAGUUUGGUGUCUGUUACUUGCAAAUAAGGGAGUUCUGAUUGGUUCCCAGUGAAACCUCAUCUGUAAGACCUCUGAGCCACCAGUAUCCACGGGGCUUGUCCUAUAACAGCUCCUGUGCAAUCCAGUAACCUUGAACACUGGAAGCCACUGAGCCCUUCUGUGAGUAGAUGCACACCUCUGAGGCUAAGAUUACUGGUGUACUCAUUGGGACCAGUUUGGUCUCAGUGACUGAAAACUCAACCCAAACUUGUUCAUUUGGAAAGGAAAAGUCAACCAGGCACAGUGGCUCAUGCCUGUAGUUCCAGCACUUUGGGAGGCUGAGGUGGACAGAUCGCUUGAGCCCAGGGGUUCAAGACCAACCUGGGCAACAUAGCAAAACCCUGCCUCUACAAAAAAAAAAAAAAA
Molecule: long non-coding RNA, 1857 nt
Organism: Homo sapiens (human)
Lineage: Eukaryota; Metazoa; Chordata; Mammalia; Primates; Hominidae
Source: Ensembl